UGUUGAAUCACCAGUUCUUGUCCAAUCACUGAAGUUAAGCAACACAGAGCCUGGUCAGUACCUAGAUGAGUGACAUCUUAGGAAUACCAGGUGUUGUAA
This is a non-coding RNA of Acanthosepion pharaonis, 99 nucleotides long. Lineage: Eukaryota; Metazoa; Mollusca; Cephalopoda; Sepiida; Sepiidae. The record is from the annotation of a GenBank genome assembly.